GUUGUGGGCUUGACCCGUGGCUUCCGGAGCUAACGCGUUAAAUCGACCGCCUGGGGAGUACGGCCGCAAGGUUAAAACUCAAAUGAAUUGACGGGGGCCCGCACAAGCGGUGGAGCAUGUGGUUUAAUUCGAUGCAACGCGAAGAACCUUACCUACUCUUGACAUCCAGAGAAUUUGCUAGAGAUAGCUUAGUGCCUUCGGGAACUCUGAGACAGGUGCUGCAUGGCUGUCGUCAGCUCGUGUUGUGAAAUGUUGGGUUAAGUCCCGCAACGAGCGCAACCCUUAUCCUUUGUUGCCAGCGAGUCAUGUCGGGAACUCAAAGGAGACUGCCGGUGAUAAACCGGAGGAAGGUGGGGAUGACGUCAAGUCAUCAUGGCCCUUACGAGUAGGGCUACACACGUGCUACAAUGGCAUAUACAAAGAGAAGCGAACUCGCGAGAGCAAGCGGACCUCAUAAAGUAUGUCGUAGUCCGGAUUGGAGUCUGCAACUCGACUCCAUGAAGUCGGAAUCGCUAGUAAUCGUAGAUCAGAAUGCUACGGUGAAUACGUUCCCGGGCCUUGUACACACCGCCCGUCACACCAUGGGAGUGGGUUGCAAAAGAAGUAGGUAGCUUAACCUUCGGGAGGGCGCUUACCACUUUGUGAUUCAUGACUGGGGUGAAGUCGUAACAAGGUAAC
This 678-nucleotide ribosomal RNA is filed under the name Hafnia paralvei. RNAcentral's name for it is "bacterial SSU rRNA". It matches the Rfam family "Bacterial small subunit ribosomal RNA", at positions 823 to 1500 of the family's 1533-position model. The record is from RNAcentral. Lineage: Bacteria; Pseudomonadati; Pseudomonadota; Gammaproteobacteria; Enterobacterales; Hafniaceae.